UUGGGCAAAAUACCUGCUGUGGCAGCCCUGUGCCUUGACUGCCUCCAGGAGAAAGUUUCUUGGGAAUGGUUGCUGAAACAAGAAGUGUGUCCAGCCUCCAGGGCUUGCCAGCAGCUAUUGACUGAUACGAGCACACUGUCCUCGGUGGCAGGAGGGAGCAACUUGCUUUAUCUAUGCAUUCCCUGGCAAGCAGCAGCAGUGGAGAAAGAGACAUGUCUCACUGGCCAGUGUCCAGUCCCUGGCAAGCCAAAUCAUUCUACAAGCUCUGAAACUGAAGAUAAAAAAUCAGCAAUGGAACAUUGCUGCUUGAGUCAGAGGUGUGAAGGAAUCAGCUCUCCACUCCAUGAUCCAUCCUCCAGCUCACAGCUGGUACAAAUGGGUGUGACUCAUUGCACAGCCAGAGGUUAUAAUGAAGUAUCCCACUCAUCCUUUAGCUCACCCUUUGUUCGAGACAAUGUGGAUUGCGGAAGGUUUCUGAGGAGCCAAAAGUUGGUGAAGGCUCCUGAGUGUCCCCGUUUGCCAUGCAGAGGUUCAGAGUUAGCAAUGCAGGCUGGCUGCCUACGUGCUCUCAGCUAGAGACUUUUAAAGAGCAGCAGCAGGAGUAAAACUGGCCAUGAGGCUCCUGCUCAGCUGCUCUGUAGCUUCCCCCCACCCGGAGGGAGGACAGGCUAGGGGAGGUGACAACCUUCAGCAAAGGUUAAGACUGGAAAAGAAGGAAGUGUCAGCUCAAUCAGGUCAGCUCAGCCAACCAACUGCUGCUGUAAUCCCUCUGCCUCAGGUCCCUGUGCUGUUGUGCUCGUGCUCUGAAUGUUACUGUAUGAGCAGCAGCCUUGUCCCCACAGUACUGUCAGCCUGCAGCAUCCAGACAGGGAGAUGGGGAA
This 881-nucleotide long non-coding RNA is filed under the name Parus major (Great Tit). RNAcentral describes it as "lncRNA (ENSPMJG00000019577.1)". Lineage: Eukaryota; Metazoa; Chordata; Aves; Passeriformes; Paridae. The record is from RNAcentral.